GACGAACGCUGGCGGCGUGCCUAAUACAUGCAAGUAGAACGCUGAAGAGAGGAGCUUGCUCUUCUUGGAUGAGUUGCGAACGGGUGAGUAACGCGUAGGUAACCUGCCUGGUAGCGGGGGAUAACUAUUGGAAACGAUAGCUAAUACCGCAUAAAAUUGAUUAUUGCAUGAUAAUUAAUUGAAAGAUGCAAUUGCAUCACUACCAGAUGGACCUGCGUUGUAUUAGCUAGUUGGUGAGGUAACGGCUCACCAAGGCGACGAUACAUAGCCGACCUGAGAGGGUGAUCGGCCACACUGGGACUGAGACACGGCCCAGACUCCUACGGGAGGCAGCAGUAGGGAAUCUUCGGCAAUGGGGGGAACCCUGACCGAGCAACGCCGCGUGAGUGAAGAAGGUUUUCGGAUCGUAAAGCUCUGUUGUAAGAGAAGAACGGGUGUGAGAGUGGAAAGUUCACACUGUGACGGUAUCUUACCAGAAGGGGACGGCUAACUACGUGCCAGCAGCCGCGGUAAUACGUAGGUCCCGAGCGUUGUCCGGAUUUAUUGGGCGUAAAGCGAGCGCAGGCGGUUAGAUAAGUCUGAAGUUAAAGGCUGUGGCUUAACCAUAGUAUGCUUUGGAAACUGUUUAACUUGAGUGCAGAAGGGGAGAGUGGAAUUCCAUGUGUAGCGGUGAAAUGCGUAGAUAUGUGGAGGAACACCGGUGGCGAAAGCGGCUCUCUGGUCUGUAACUGACGCUGAGGCUCGAAAGCGUGGGGAGCAAACAGGACUAGAUACCCUGGUAGUCCACGCCGUAAACGAUGAGUGCUAGGUGUUAGGCCCUUUCCGGGGCUUAGUGCCGCAGCUAACGCAUUAAGCACUCCGCCUGGGGAGUACGACCGCAAGGUUGAAACUCAAAGGAAUUGACGGGGGCCCGCACAAGCGGUGGAGCAUGUGGUUUAAUUCGAAGCAACGCGAAGAACCUUACCAGGUCUUGACAUCCCUCUGACCGCUCUAGAGAUAGAGUUUUCCUUCGGGACAGAGGUGACAGGUGGUGCAUGGUUGUCGUCAGCUCGUGUCGUGAGAUGUUGGGUUAAGUCCCGCAACGAGCGCAACCCCUAUUGUUAGUUGCCAUCAUUCAGUUGGGCACUCUAGCGAGACUGCCGGUAAUAAACCGGAGGAAGGUGGGGAUGACGUCAAAUCAUCAUGCCCCUUAUGACCUGGGCUACACACGUGCUACAAUGGCUGGUACAACGAGUCGCAAGCCGGUGACGGCAAGCUAAUCUCUGAAAGCCAGUCUCAGUUCGGAUUGUAGGCUGCAACUCGCCUACAUGAAGUCGGAAUCGCUAGUAAUCGCGGAUCAGCACGCCGCGGUGAAUACGUUCCCGGGCCU
Molecule: ribosomal RNA, 1369 nt
Filed under: uncultured bacterium
Lineage: Bacteria
Description: bacterial SSU rRNA
Rfam family: Bacterial small subunit ribosomal RNA
Source: RNAcentral